UUCCGUAGUGACCUGCGGAAGGAUCAUUA
Molecule: ribosomal RNA, 29 nt
Filed under: Arianta arbustorum arbustorum
Lineage: Eukaryota; Metazoa; Mollusca; Gastropoda; Stylommatophora; Helicidae
Also listed under: 2 other names
Description: partial 18S ribosomal RNA
Source: RNAcentral